GCGAGCGGCGGAUGGGUGAGUAACACGUGGGGAACCUGCCCCUAAGUCUGGGAUACCAUUUGGAAACAGGUGCUAAUACCGGAUAAUAAAGCAGAUCGCAUGAUCAGCUUUUGAAAGGCGGCGUAAGCUGUCGCUAAGGGAUGGCCCCGCGGUGCAUUAGCUAGUUGGUAAGGUAACGGCUUACCAAGGCGACGAUGCAUAGCCGAGUUGAGAGACUGAUCGGCCACAUUGGGACUGAGACACGGCCCAAACUCCUACGGGAGGCAGCAGUAGGGAAUCUUCCACAAUGGACGCAAGUCUGAUGGAGCAACGCCGCGUGAGUGAAGAAGGUUUUCGGAUCGUAAAGCUCUGUUGUUGGUGAAGAAGGAUAGAGGUAGUAACUGGCCUUUAUUUGACGGUAAUCAACCAGAAAGUCACGGCUAACUACGUGCCAGCAGCCGCGGUAAUACGUAGGUGGCAAGCGUUGUCCGGAUUUAUUGGGCGUAAAGCGAGCGCAGGCGGAAAAAUAAGUCUAAUGUGAAAGCCCUCGGCUUAACCGAGGAACUGCAUCGGAAACUGUUUUUCUUGAGUGCAGAAGAGGAGAGUGGAACUCCAUGUGUAGCGGUGGAAUGCGUAGAUAUAUGGAAGAACACCAGUGGCGAAAGGCGGCUCUCUGGUCUGCAACUGACGCCUGAGGCUCGAAAGCAUGGGUAGCGAAACAGGAUUAGAUACCCUGGUAGU
This 720-nucleotide ribosomal RNA is filed under the name uncultured bacterium. RNAcentral describes it as "bacterial SSU rRNA". It matches the Rfam family "Bacterial small subunit ribosomal RNA", at positions 91 to 794 of the family's 1533-position model. The record is from RNAcentral.